Paramuricea clavata is the source of this 888-nucleotide non-coding RNA. The record is from the annotation of a GenBank genome assembly. Lineage: Eukaryota; Metazoa; Cnidaria; Anthozoa; Malacalcyonacea; Plexauridae.
AAGGAACUUUAGCUCAUUACUCAUUUAUAGCAACUGCUGGCUGAUUCAUGUGAAGCAAGACUGCUGAAUAAAAACGUAUCUGAAAAUUUUACAUACGAGGUUUUUAGUCAUAGGGUAAGUAUAUAUAAUGUGUUAUGCAGGUCUUCGUCAGUAUUAGUUUCGAUCCUGUUUAUCAAGCUAUAAGUCUAUAACCCGAAACAUGUACUGCUUCAGCGACUUAGCCCUCAACAACCGAGACUGAUGAAAGUAAAACUGAAUUUGAGGGGUAGUCGGUUUUCAGUAUUAGAAUUAUUUUAUUGCCCAAGAGUAAAACUACGGGCCCUCAGAAAUACUAAUGCAGUACUAUUGACCUUGGAGAUUUUUAUGUACCAGUACUACCAGACUAGUAGUUUCUGCCAGGCUAGGUAAAUUCAGUUGACUGUAGAUAUAAAUUCUAUAAAAUUAAUCUUGAUUAAAUCAUUAGUUCAGUAUAAGAAUUAAAUGCAAAAUUAAAAUGCCAAAAUGGUAAACAUUAAUCAAUCAAAAUGAAACUUUUUUCCUCAAAAACAACAGAACUAUUGAUUCUUCUGCCUGUAUUUACAUGUCAUUUAUUGACUUAAACUAUAAAUGUAGCUAAACAAGACCAAUUUGAUUUCGCAGCCUUUUCUUACUUUGUCAUGUUUGAUGAAUGUUGACAACCGUUGUUUAAACCACAUUUACCAAUCGCCUUUAUUCCGCUUUCAUGUGGGAUAAAAUUUUAAACUUAAAGUCGCGACAACAGGAUCUGAUUUAUUUUGUGUAGCUGGCGUCCGGUGCAUGUUAAAUUCAAUUCAAUUCACUAAGAUGAAGAAUUUUUUGGUAUGUUCUGUUCUUCUCUUGGCAUUCUUCAACAAUCGUGUUCAAGGUAUG